ACAGCAGUCGCCACGGGAAUACGUAGGUGGCAAGCGUUGUCCGGAAUUAUUGGGCGUAAAGGGCUCGCAGGCGGUUUCUUAAGUCUGAUGUGAAAGCCCCCGGCUCAACCGGGGAGGGUCAUUGGAAACUGGGAAACUUGAGUGCAGAAGGGGAGAGUGGAAUUCCACGUGUAGCGGUGAAAUGCGUAGAGAUGUGGAGGAACACCAGUGGCGAAGGCGACUCUCUGGUCUGUAACUGACGCUGAGGAGCGAAAGCGUGGGGAGCGAACAGGAUUAGAUACCCCUGUAGUCCCUGUCUCUUAUAC
RNAcentral lists this ribosomal RNA (305 nucleotides) under uncultured bacterium. RNAcentral's name for it is "partial 16S ribosomal RNA". It matches the Rfam family "Bacterial small subunit ribosomal RNA", at positions 505 to 807 of the family's 1533-position model. The record is from RNAcentral.